This 511-nucleotide ribosomal RNA is filed under the name uncultured crenarchaeote. RNAcentral describes it as "bacterial SSU rRNA". It matches the Rfam family "Archaeal small subunit ribosomal RNA", at positions 179 to 693 of the family's 1478-position model. Lineage: Archaea; Thermoproteati; Thermoproteota. The record is from RNAcentral.
AGCUUCUUUCAUACAUCUGCUCCAGGAUGGGACUGCGUCUUAUCAGGCUAUUGGCGGGGUAAUGGCCCACCAAACCUGUAACCAGUACGGGCCUUGAGAGAGGGGGCCCGGAGAUGGACACUGAGAGAAGGGUCCAGGUCCUACGGGGCGCAGCAGGCGCGAAACCUUCGCAAUGCGCGAAAGCGGUAGCAGGUUAAUCCGAGCGGUUCCCGGUGAGGGAAUCCUUUUGCGGCCUUUAAAAAGGCCGGCGAAUAAGGGGAGGGCAAGUCUGGUGUCAGCCGCCGUGGUAAUACCAGCUCCUCGAGUGGUCGGGGCGAUUAUUGGGCCUAAAGCAUCCGUAGCCGGUUCUGUAGGUCCUCUGUUAAAUCCAACGGCUUAACCGUUGGCCUGCAGAGGAUACCGCAAGACUAGGAGGCGGGAGAGGCAGACGGUACUCUACGUGCAGGGGUAAAAUCCUUUGAUCCGUGGAAGACCACCAGUGGCGAAGGCGGUCCGAUAAGAACGCGACUCG